This 1372-nucleotide ribosomal RNA is filed under the name uncultured bacterium. RNAcentral describes it as "bacterial SSU rRNA". It matches the Rfam family "Bacterial small subunit ribosomal RNA", at positions 28 to 1381 of the family's 1533-position model. The record is from RNAcentral.
GAUGAACGCUGGCGGCGUGCCUAAUACAUGCAAGUCGAGCGAACGGACGAGAAGCUUGCUUCUCUGAUGUUAGCGGCGGACGGGUGAGUAACACGUGGAUAACCUACCUAUAAGACUGGGAUAACUUCGGGAAACCGGAGCUAAUACCGGAUAAUAUUUUGAACCGCAUGGUUCAAAAGUGAAAGACGGUCUUGCUGUCACUUAUAGAUGGAUCCGCGCUGCAUUAGCUAGUUGGUAAGGUAACGGCUUACCAAGGCAACGAUGCAUAGCCGACCUGAGAGGGUGAUCGGCCACACUGGAACUGAGACACGGUCCAGACUCCUACGGGAGGCAGCAGUAGGGAAUCUUCCGCAAUGGGCGAAAGCCUGACGGAGCAACGCCGCGUGAGUGAUGAAGGUCUUCGGAUCGUAAAACUCUGUUAUUAGGGAAGAACAUAUGUGUAAGUAACUGUGCACAUCUUGACGGUACCUAAUCAGAAAGCCACGGCUAACUACGUGCCAGCAGCCGCGGUAAUACGUAGGUGGCAAGCGUUAUCCGGAAUUAUUGGGCGUAAAGCGCGCGUAGGCGGUUUUUUAAGUCUGAUGUGGAAGCCCACGGCUCAACCGUGGAGGGUCAUUGGAAACUGGAAAACUUGAGUGCAGAAGAGGAAAGUGGAAUUCCAUGUGUAGCGGUGAAAUGCGCAGAGAUAUGGAGGAACACCAGUGGCGAAGGCGACUUUCUGGUCUGUAACUGACGCUGAUGUGCGAAAGCGUGGGGAUCAAACAGGAUUAGAUACCCUGGUAGUCCACGCCGUAAACGAUGAGUGCUAAGUGUUAGGGGGUUUCCGCCCCUUAGUGCUGCAGCUAACGCAUUAGGCACUCCGCCUGGGGAGUACGACCGCAAGGUUGAAACUCAAGGGAAUUGACGGGGACCCGCACAAGCGGUGGAGCAUGUGGUUUAAUUCGAAGCAACGCGAAGAACCUUACCAAAUCUUGACAUCCUUUGACAACUCUAGAGAUAGAGCCUUCCCCUUCGGGGGACAAAGUGACAGGUGGUGCAUGGUUGUCGUCAGCUCGUGUCGUGAGAUGUUGGGUUAAGUCCCGCAACGAGCGCAACCCUUAAGCUUAGUUGCCAUCAUUAAGUUGGGCACUCUAAGUUAACUGCCGGUGACAAACCGGAGGAAGGUGGGGAUGACGUCAAAUCAUCAUGCCCCUUAUGAUUUGGGCUACACACGUGCUACAAUGGACAAUACAAAGGGCAGCGAAACCGCGAGGUCAAGCAAAUCCCAUAAAGUUGUUCUCAGUUCGGAUUGUAGUCUGCAACUCGACUACAUGAAGCUGGAAUCGCUAGUAAUCGUAGAUCAGCAUGCUACGGUGAAUACGUUCCCGGGUCU